CUGUAAUGUAUACUAUGGAUUUUGGUCCUUGAUGGCCACAUCCAGUUCAACCAAGAUCCACUUCAUAGAGUCCACUAAAAUGUAUUAAUCUUAAAGAUAUUGGUGAAAUCUACAAAAUACGUAUUGGACAUGACAACAGUGGAAA
Molecule: RNA transcript, 145 nt
Organism: Eptesicus fuscus (big brown bat)
Lineage: Eukaryota; Metazoa; Chordata; Mammalia; Chiroptera; Vespertilionidae
Exons: 3
Source: RefSeq, a predicted model, not a curated record